AAUAUCCAGCACCUGCAAAAUAUUGUGAAGUAUUAGGAACAGUUGUAAUGAAAACUGACUGCAAGCGUCAUAACAACAGAAAAUCAAGUGCUACGGGACUAAGUGUUUUCCAAUUUAUAUCAAGUAUGACAGUGUGUUAAUACAAAAAUGUUGAGGGUGAAAAUGAAAUUUUGAAUCCAGAUGUGCUCCUUCGUCAUUCUGCUAGCAUAAGAGAAAGGAUGUGGUCUACCACAUGUGGCUCAAACACUUCCUCAUCUAGACAAGCUGUCUAAACCAAUGAGUGCUGAGAAUUACACCUUUCCUGGGAUCUAGUCUCCAGUGUUUUUAAUCUUUCUGUGGAGGCAUCAGGGUGUCCAGAUAUCAAGUUGCAGAGCAUCCUCCAGAAGGCAGGAUGUCACCACACCCCCAGAUCACCAUGCAAACUACAUUGGACAAAAGAGGAGUUCAUUUGAAUUAUGUGAAGAGAAGAGGGUGGUCAUUUCUGUGAUCAUCUCACCUUCUUGUGGAAAACCUCUGCAAAAUUUGAGUGUGCAGCCUCCUUCAAUACCACUGCUGAAUUCUGCUUUUGAAUCACUGGGCUGAAUCCAGUGACCAGAUAUUCUGCAAACCCAAGUAACAAAGAGGUGUGGAUACUAACCCAAGAGUGACAUUUAUCUUCAUUAGCACUUUCAGUUGGUUUUAUUAACUACUGAGAAUAAAUAAUUCCCUAUAAUUUUCUUAUACA
Molecule: long non-coding RNA, 724 nt
Filed under: Anas platyrhynchos platyrhynchos (common mallard)
Lineage: Eukaryota; Metazoa; Chordata; Aves; Anseriformes; Anatidae
Description: lncRNA (ENSAPLG00000031033.1)
Source: RNAcentral